GACGAACGCUGGCGGCGUGCUUAACACAUGCAAGUCGAACGGAAAGGCCCCUUUGGGGGUCCUCGAGUGGCGAACGGGUGCGUAACACGGGAGUAACCUGCCCUUGACUUCGGGAUAACUUCAGGAAACUGGGGCUAAUACCGGAUAGGAAUCCUUGCUGCAUGGUGGGGGUUGGAAAGCUUCGGCGGUUUUGGAUGGACUCGCGGCUUAUCAGCUUGUUGGUGGGGUAGUGGCUUACCAAGGCUUUGACGGGUAGCCGGCCUGAGAGGGCGACCGGCCACAUUGGGACUGAGAGACGGCCCAGACUCCUACGGGAGGCAGCAGUGGGGAAUAUUGCACAAGGGGCGGAAGCCGGAUGCAGCAACGCCGCGUGCGGGAUGACGGCCUUCGGGUUGUAAACCGCUUUCAGCAGGGGCGAAGCUUGUGGUGACGGUACCUGCAGAAGAAGCACCGGCUAACUACGUG
Molecule: ribosomal RNA, 465 nt
Filed under: uncultured bacterium
Lineage: Bacteria
Description: partial 16S ribosomal RNA
Rfam family: Bacterial small subunit ribosomal RNA
Source: RNAcentral